GAGCUCAUGUUGCGUGUCGUGCAUGUAAUAUAUCAGCUACUCACUCCGCGUUAACCAUCUGAGUUGUUAGCUGAGUUGUAGUAUCAGUCCGGAAUGUUGUACCUUGUCCGCUCCGCGAUGCUGUACCUUGUUCUGCUACCCGUUCUACUUGAGGCCCACGUACACAACUUCGAUCAGAACCUCCUAACAACAGUCUACAAGCCCCCUGAUUAUGAGGGGUACUGUGAUGGUGCUCCUACUAUAUACUCCUACCACAUCCACGUGCUGUUCUGGCAGAACAACAAGCCGCGCACUGCUAGUGCUCUGGAGCUGAGAGAGCAGUUUGUAAAGAGGUUUGAACUUGAGGGGAAGGACUGUGAGAUCUUCCCGGGAGACCCUGCUCCUGGACAUGAGAUGUGCGUGUUUGAAGUGGAUUGGGUGGCAGCCGGACCCUUCACCACUGCUCAGUACUCCUUUUACAUUCCACCUGGGGAUCUGCUGGAAACUUCUGCUUGGAUGCUGCAACACAGGGGUGUACAAGAUGUGUUUAUUCACCCGAAUACUGGCUGUGAAACUAACGAUCAUACUAAAUGGUACACUUUCUCUGGUGACAAAUGGCCGAUAGAUGCUUCCAUCUUCAGCUGUGACCGUCCUGGAUGCAAGCCAAAAUCGUGAUUCUGAAUAUGUUAAAAUGAAAAAGAUAAAAAUGACAAUGACAUUAGUUCCAAAGAAUCAUCAAUACCGAAUCAGCUGGUUGGGUGUAUAGACAUUGUAUUGGACAGACAUAUUUUAUUGUAUUCACUCUCAUACUUUAAUAUUAUGACUUUUUUAAUGUAUGUGAAUAGAAAAUCGUGAUUAGAUCUUCGAUUGUUCUUUAAAUGUCAAAGAUCUCAACAGAUGUUUGAUGAAGUUUUGAUGGAUUGUCCAGAUUUUUUAAUUCGUUUCUCACAUGGGUCAGCGUCUCAUCUUUGAACUAACUCUCAAUUCUGUUAUAAUCUUAUCCUAUACUAGUCCGUCUAUCUAACCUGACUAUGAUAGCUGUGGUUCUCAUCACUUUACUGGCUGCUUGUGUCAACGCACAUUACCACAUACAUGACUGGAAUUCUAUGAAAACCAGCCUCCCGUCUCCUGGUAGUGGAGGUAACAAGUCUUGUGAUUAUGCUGAGGCCUUAUCCUACCACAUCCACGUACUCUUCUGGCAGAACAGUCCUAAACACACUGCCGGUGCUUUGGGUUUAAGAAACAGAUUCAUUGCGAAGUUUAAUCUGAGGGAGAAUUGCACAAUGGAUGCUGGAGACCCCGCCCCAGGACAUGACAUGUGCGUAUUUGAAGUUGACUGGGAACCAGCAGGACCCUUCACCACUGCUCAGUACUCUUUCUUCAUCCCUCCUCAGAAGCUCCAGGAGACUUCUAUCUGGAUGUUGCAGCACAGAGGUAUCUAUGAUGUGUUCAUUCAUCCUAACAGUGGAUGUGAAACUAACGAUCAUACUAAAUGGUACACUUUCUCUGGCAACAAAUGGCCGAUAGAUGCUUCCAUCUUCAGCUGUGACCGUCCUGGAUGCAAACCCAAGGGUUUCCAGAAUUACUAAACAAUGAUACUUUUGAAAGGGACAAAAAACAAUUUGAAUUUGAACAUAACUAUUUUUAGAA
Long non-coding RNA from Bolinopsis microptera, 1629 nucleotides. RefSeq lists it as uncharacterized. Lineage: Eukaryota; Metazoa; Ctenophora; Tentaculata; Lobata; Bolinopsidae. The transcript has 2 exons. The record is from RefSeq and is a predicted model, not a curated record.